GUACUCACUUCAGCAGCACAUAUAUGAAAAAUUAGAGCAAUAUAGAGAAGAUUAGCAUGGCCCCUGUGCAAGGAUGACAUGCAAAUUUGUGAAGCAUUCCAUAUUUUU
This 108-nucleotide small nuclear RNA is filed under the name Dasypus novemcinctus (nine-banded armadillo). Lineage: Eukaryota; Metazoa; Chordata; Mammalia; Cingulata; Dasypodidae. The record is from RNAcentral.